UUGGGUACUCUAUUGAGACUGCCGCUGACAAGGCGGAGGAAGGUGGGGACGACGUCAAGUCAUCAUGGCCCUUACGACCAGGGCUACACACGUGCUACAAUGGGUAUUACAGAGGGCUGCGAAGGUGCGAGCUGGAGCGAAACUCAAAAAGGUACUCUUAGUCCGGAUUGCAGUCUGCAACUCGACUGCAUGAAGUCGGAAUCGCUAGUAAUCGCAGGUCAGAAUACUGCGGUGAAUACGUUCCCGGGU
This 249-nucleotide ribosomal RNA is filed under the name Francisella tularensis. RNAcentral's name for it is "partial ribosomal RNA". It matches the Rfam family "Bacterial small subunit ribosomal RNA", at positions 1131 to 1378 of the family's 1533-position model. Lineage: Bacteria; Pseudomonadati; Pseudomonadota; Gammaproteobacteria; Thiotrichales; Francisellaceae. The record is from RNAcentral.